UAUGACUCAAAGGGCCCUGGCCCAAAUGUAUCUUCCAGCAAGUGGUAUCAUUAACUGGUUUCUCCUUAGCUCUGCUCUCAUCUCCUCAACAGUCAAUCCAAAAACGUUGUUUGUUACUUCGCGAGUCUAAUCUCUGCCUGCAGAACAGUUAGGUUUUUUAGGAAGAGAAGAUGGGGUUUAUCAUGGAAUUUGCUGAGAAUUUGAUUCUGAGGUUAAUGGAGGAUCCAAAGGAGAGGGACCGGAAGUUCAGGGAGCGUGUAUAUGCAGUUAAGGAUCGAUGCCAAAAGACCAAGGAAAUGUGGAGCUAUCCUCUUCGCCCUUAUGGGUUUUGGACAUUUGAGCGCCACAAUGCGCAGCUUGCUUGGGAUGCUAAGAUUAGCCAGGUUCCUGGUCGGAGGGACCCCUAUGAUGACCUCCUUCAAGAUAGUUAUGGCUUCCCCAAGUGAAUGAAUUCACUCAAGUGUUUUGACAAUGAGAAUAUAAGAUUGCUUGGAGGGGCAAUGAUGGCUUAGCUAUUGAAAAUAAAGUUCAGUUUCCAUUAGCAGACUGACAAGAAAAGCUUUUUUGGAGAAACGAGUGUGGAGAUUGAUGUUUAAGCUCUUUUUCUUUUUCCUGUCUCACAGUCAUGUAUUCUGUGGACUGUACGGAUGUCAGCUGAUUUCGUAAUACCCUGGAUGUCCGAGACUUGUUCAUGAGUUUGAAUAAUUGCCCAUAUAACUCGUCUAUGGAAUUGAAUGUUCAUGAUUA
Molecule: RNA transcript, 747 nt
Organism: Populus nigra (black poplar)
Lineage: Eukaryota; Viridiplantae; Streptophyta; Magnoliopsida; Malpighiales; Salicaceae
Exons: 4
Source: RefSeq, a predicted model, not a curated record